RNAcentral lists this transfer-messenger RNA (355 nucleotides) under Elusimicrobiota bacterium. RNAcentral's name for it is "Elusimicrobia bacterium (hot springs metagenome) transfer-messenger RNA". It matches the Rfam family "transfer-messenger RNA". From Rfam's summary of the family: Bacterial tmRNA, also known as 10Sa RNA or SsrA, is named for its dual tRNA and mRNA-like properties. The record is from RNAcentral. Lineage: Bacteria; Pseudomonadati; Elusimicrobiota.
GGGGGCGAAUAGCUUAGACAUGAGUCAGUAUCGUCCGAGUUGCAGGUCAUGGUUGACCAGGCCAUGUAAAAAAUGGUCAAAAAAACAAAAGCCAACUCUAAUGAGAUGGCCUGGGCGCACGCUUAAGUUGCGCCUCGCUGCCAUUCCCUUUUCUGCGGGGAAUGGAUUAGCGUCAUAAGCAGAAUGCUGAUUGAUUGUGUUUUUCCGCGCAAUUAAUCAAAAGACCAAGCGGAGAUAGAGCGGUUUUUGCCUGCCCUGAGCUUAUAAACUGCUUGAAAUUUAAAUCGGGACUAAACCUGUAGUGGCUCUGCCGAACGGCUUAUGGACCCGGGUGCGAAUCCCGGCGCCUCCAUUA